RNAcentral lists this small RNA (76 nucleotides) under Xanthomonas oryzae pv. oryzae. Its description in RNAcentral is "sX9". It matches the Rfam family "Xanthomonas sRNA sX9". The record is from RNAcentral. Lineage: Bacteria; Pseudomonadati; Pseudomonadota; Gammaproteobacteria; Lysobacterales; Lysobacteraceae.
AGGUACCCCGCGUGCGCUCUGGUUCCUCCGCGCCGUCCACGCCCACCUGACGACUGCUCGCCACGUUUUGUUAGCC